RNAcentral lists this long non-coding RNA (513 nucleotides) under Homo sapiens (human). RNAcentral describes it as "HSALNT0033354". The record is from RNAcentral. Lineage: Eukaryota; Metazoa; Chordata; Mammalia; Primates; Hominidae.
GAGCAGCUCACAGCACUUGCCAUCAUCCCUUUGAUCCUUCAGGCACAGUUUAUUUUGCUACCGAGCUUUACAAUAUUUCUUCAGUGUUGCUGAAAUUCAAAGCUGGCCUCUGGAGUCAGACUUCCUGGGUUAAAAUCCCAGAUCUACUAUUUAGAAUGAGUGGCAGAGAAGAGCAGAAGAGAGAGCCUCCAAGACUCAACUACAGUCCCCAAAGUCAAUCAGCAUAAGCAUUGGCAAGGAUGUGGAACAACACGAACUCUUGCUGGGAGACACAGGAUUGGGAAAACCAUUUUCGAAAACAAUUUGGCAUUAUGUAAAAUUGUUGGAGUCUUUUCUGACUACCAACCAGCAAUUCUAUUCUGAUAUUUACUCUUACUAAAUAAAGUCUAGACUUGCACUGUCCAACAUGGUGGUUAUUAGCCAGCACAGGCUGGAGUGCAGUGGCGUGAUCUUGGCUUACUGCAACCUCUGCCUCCUGGGUUCAAGUGAUUCUCCUGUCUCAGCCUCCUGAGU